Long non-coding RNA from Gorilla gorilla gorilla (western lowland gorilla), 860 nucleotides. RefSeq lists it as uncharacterized. The transcript is spliced from 5 exons. The record is from RefSeq and is a predicted model, not a curated record. NCBI's taxonomy places the organism in Eukaryota, Metazoa, Chordata, Mammalia, Primates, Hominidae.
AUAGUGGAGAGCACAGGCAGCCGGAGACUUAAGCUGGCUGCUCCCACCUCCGCCUCUCCACGCUUCCUGCUUCCACCAUGAAGCCGCUGUGAGUAAAACCGACAUGCCUGGAGGCUGUGCCCCUUUAUCCUGGAUCUUCCGGGAGGCCCUGGCAUGAGGCCUGACAGCCCCUGGUAUUUGGCUUUUAUCUUCUUGGACCCAAUAUAUACUGGGCACAGCAUCUUAACAGCAAUAUAAACUCGAAAAAGAACCUAAUAAAAAAUGUACAAGACCUAUAAUGGAGCCUUCCCAUCCAUGAACAUGAUUUUGUAGGUACAGGUUGAAUAUCAUUUAUCCAAAAUGCUUGGGACCCGAAGUGUUUCUGAUUUCAGACGUUUUUGGAUUUUGGAAUAUCUGCAUACACAAAAGGAGCUAUCUUGGGGAUGGGACCCAAGUCUAAAUAUGAAAUUCAUUUUUUUCAUAUACACCUUAUGCACAUAGCCUGAAGGUCCCGUGUUCCUCUCAACUUGCGGGGCUGUGGAACGGACCUAUUUUCUACCUAAGCUCUCAUAUGCAUUGCCUCCUGAUAUGGUUUGGCUUUGUGUCCCCACCCAAACCUCAUCUCCAAUUGUAUCCCCAGGUGUUGAGGAAGGGCCCUAGUGGGAGGAUCUGAUGAUUGGAUCAUGGGGGCGGUUUCUUCCGUGCUGUUCUCAUAAGAGCGAGUGAGUUCCCACGAGAUCUGGUGGUUUUAUAAGAGGCUCUUCCUCCUUUGCUGUGUCUCCUGCCACCUUGUGAAAAAGCUGCUUGCUUCCCCUUUGCCUUCCGCCAUGAUUGUAAGUUUCCUGAGGCCUCCCGAGCCAUAUGGAACUGUGAGUCAAUUA